Lycium barbarum (goji berry) is the source of this 1498-nucleotide long non-coding RNA. RefSeq lists it as uncharacterized. NCBI's taxonomy places the organism in Eukaryota, Viridiplantae, Streptophyta, Magnoliopsida, Solanales, Solanaceae. The transcript is spliced from 8 exons. The record is from RefSeq and is a predicted model, not a curated record.
UCAAAGACUUCACACCUGGAUCACUUUUAAACAGUUCAUCCCUUCAAUGGAGGGUUUUCCAAUGUUUUCAACCCAGUUUCAAGUUUCCUUCAAUUCACGUUGCAGGACUUCGAAUCAAUCAUUAGUAUUGUAAUUACAGCUAAUAAUAAUGGCAUUUAAGAUAUUUUGCAUAGUAGCUAUGUAGCUUAAUAUUACCAUACAUGCUCAUUACAGUUGUAGAAACUUCUAAGCAACUCAAUGGCACUCCUUUUUUACUUCUACGUUUAUCUCUCUUGCCCGAGCACAGCUCCCAUGGUUCUUCGAUCAGUGCUGAAUUCAGGAGUAUAAGACUCUUGGAGUCCAAAGUUUGUCACAAAGGUUAUGUGGUGACACGGGGAUGAAAAUGCUUCUCAGAAAGUAAUGACAUGACAACUUCGUGAACCUGGCAUGAGAUGUGCAAGUUAAUCAAAAGGUGGCAAAGGAAGGAAGUUAUUACACUUUCAGAAUAUUUUGCCAAUUUGUCAAGACAGAUUUGUGAGGCCAUUAUUUAGCAAAGAUAUCAAAGGAAGAGAAUAGCAAAAGGCGAGUCAAAUGUGUUACUUCAUAAAGUUUGCUACGUACUCUUUGCUUUAAGAAAGAUCUAAUAAUUUGGGAGGGUCAUGGUUUAUUGGAGAGGCUGCUGAAGAUGAUGAAUCGGAAGAUAGGAAGAUGUUAUCAAAGAAGAUGAAGAUGAGGAUGUCAAGGAUGACGAAAAGUGACAGAAAAGAAGAAGAAGUUGGGGUUUCGUCUAAUGUACUUUGCCGCUCCGACUAUUCUCCAUUAAGGUUCCAUAAAUUUCAUCCAGGUUUCGACACAAGAACGUGAGAGUGGUGCUAAUCAGCGACAAAGAGUUAAAGUGUCGGAUUGAGAAUAUAUGAUACUGCAGUACAAUUUCAUAUGAUAAACUGAUACAAUUUUAAUCAUGAACUUUGCAGGAGGCAAAGUAGCUACAUCACAUGCUUGUACCAUUGCAGUAUCUUCUCAAAUGUGGAUGGUCUCGAGACAAAGCAUGGUGUUGAGGUGGAGCUACGAGCUUUCUGCAAUGAUGUCUUGAAGGCUUUCAAUAGCAUUGCACACAAGUCUCAUGUGACAUUAUUAUCUCCAUCAACUGAACAAAGUCUGCUACCUCCGAAUCUUGGUUCAAUGGUUAGGCCGCCUUAAGGGUAACUGGAUUUCCCAUUGGAGUAAGAACCAAUAAGAUAGGAGUCCGCGUAUUGUCUUCUUGAACUAAGCAUUUGAGUAUAGAUAAGAAGGGCCUUAGAAGGAAAGAUGAACAACAAUCAGUUUAAGUUCAUACUUUGUUGUCUUCACAUUAUUUCAUCUUAGCUUUCUGGUCUUAUUGUAGAGUAUCUUUUGUUUUAUGAAACUCAUCAGAUUUGCUCUCCAUCGCAUCAAAAUUGUUUUAAAGAGUAUAACGUUGAAACUAAACAAGUAUAAGCUAUAUUUUCAGGUUUGAUUUAUAAAUAUUGUAAUGGUUUCU